RNAcentral lists this ribosomal RNA (450 nucleotides) under uncultured bacterium. RNAcentral's name for it is "partial 16S ribosomal RNA". It matches the Rfam family "Bacterial small subunit ribosomal RNA", at positions 354 to 796 of the family's 1533-position model. The record is from RNAcentral.
GUGGGGAAUAUUGGACAAUGGGCGAAAGCCUGAUCCAGCCAUGCCGCGUGUGUGAAGAAGGUCUUCGGAUUGUAAAGCACUUUAAGUUGGGAGGAAGGGCAGUAAGUUAAUACCUUGCUGUUUUGACGUUACCGACAGAAUAAGCACCGGCUAACUUCGUGCCAGCAGCCGCGGUAAUACGAAGGGUGCAAGCGUUAAUCGGAAUUACUGGGCGUAAAGCGCGCGUAGGUGGUUUUGUAAGUUGGAGGUGAAAUCCCCGGGCUCAACCUGGGAACUGCCUCCAAAACUACUGGGCUAGAGUACGGUAGAGGGUAGUGGAAUUUCCUGUGUAGCGGUGAAAUGCGUAGAUAUAGGAAGGAACACCAGUGGCGAAGGCGACUACCUGGACUGAUACUGACACUGAGGUGCGAAAGCGUGGGGAGCAAACAGGAUUAGAUACCCGUGUAGUCC